CUGCCCCAUACACCGGAAUAGCUCCUGGAAACGGGUGGUAAUGCCGGAUGCUCCAGUUGACCGCAUGGUCCUCUGGGAAANCUUUUGCGGUAUGGGAUGGGGUCGCGUCCUAUCAGCUUGAUGGCGGGGUAACGGCCCACCAUGGCUUCGACGGGUAGCCGGCCUGAGAGGGCGACCGGCCACAUUGGGACUGAGAUACGGCCCAGACUCCUACGGGAGGCAGCAGUGGGGAAUAUUGCACAAUGGGCGCAAGCCUGAUGCAGCGACGCCGCGUGCGGGAUGACGGCCUUCGGGUUGUAAACCGCUUUUGACUGGGAGCAAGCCCUUCGGGGUGAGUGUACCUUUCGAAUAAGCACCGGCUAACUACGUGCCAGCAGCCGCGGUAAUACGUAGGGUGCAAGCGUUAUCCGGAAUUAUUGGGCGUAAAGGGCUCGUAGGCGGUUCGUCGCGUCCGGUGUGAAAGUCCAUCGCUUAACGGUGGAUCCGCGCCGGGUACGGGCGGGCUUGAGUGCGGUAGGGGAGACUGGAAUUCCCGGUGUAACGGUGGAAUGUGUAGAUAUCGGGAAGAACACCAAUGGCGAAGGCAGGUCUCUGGGCCGUCACUGACGCUGAGGAGCGAAAGCGNNGGGGAGCGAACAGGAUUAGAUACCCUGGUAGUCCACGCCGUAAACGGUGGAUGCUGGAUGUGGGGACCAUUCCACGGUCUCCGUGUCGGAGCCAACGCGUUAAGCAUCCCGCCUGGGGAGUACGGCCGCAAGGNNAAAACUCAAAGAAAUUGACGGGGGCCCGCACAAGCGGCGGAGCAUGCGGGAUUAAUUCGAUGCAACGCGAAGAACCUUACCUGGGCUUGACAUGUUCCCGACAGCCCCAGAGAUGGGGCCUCCCUUCGGGGCGGGUUCACAGGUGGUGCAUGGUCGUCGUCAGCUCGUGUCNCGAGAUGUUGGGUUAAGUCCCGCAACGAGCGCAACCCUCGCCCUGUGUUGCCAGCACGUCGUGGUGGGAACUCACGGGGGACCGCCGGGGUCAACUCGGAGGAAGGUGGGGAUGACGUCAGAUCAUCAUGCCCCUUACGUCCAGGCNUCACGCAUGCUACAAUGGCCGGUACAACGGGAUGCGACACCGCGAGGUGGAGCGGAUCCAUNAAAACCGGUCUCAGUUCGGAUUGGAGUCUGCAACCCGACUCCAUGAAGGCGGAGUCGAUAGUAAUCGCGGAUAAGCAACGCCGCGGUGAAUGCGUUCCCGGCCUUGUACACACCGCCCGUCAAGU
This 1267-nucleotide ribosomal RNA is filed under the name uncultured Bifidobacterium sp. 9C. RNAcentral's name for it is "bacterial SSU rRNA". It matches the Rfam family "Bacterial small subunit ribosomal RNA", at positions 126 to 1402 of the family's 1533-position model. The record is from RNAcentral. Lineage: Bacteria; Bacillati; Actinomycetota; Actinomycetes; Bifidobacteriales; Bifidobacteriaceae.